UGGUUUGCUACAGCUCUAGUAUUUAAUCCAUGCUUCUCUCGUUCAAAGAUCGCAGCUAUCUGUUUAUCUCGUUAUCUGUUUAUUUUUCAGUAGAUAAUGGACAGGUUACUUAUCACUUAGAAUUAGUUAUAUUAUGAAAGUUGUUCCGAUCGAGUCGUAACCUGAUUGUAUCCUUAUUGAUAGUGUUUCUAAUUGUUUGUGAAGUUGAAAUGGCUACUUCUCGCAUUCUUGUUUUGAAGAAACACAUGUCUUCCAAAGCUGCAUCUACGAUGAUAAAAAAUGUGACAGUUAUUGGCGGCGGGCUUAUGGGAUCUGGAAUCGCACAGGUGGCAGCCCAGACGGGACACCAGGUGGUGCUGUGUGAGGUCAGCGACCAGGCCCUGCAGAAGUCCCGCAGCAGCAUCCAGACCAGUCUCCAGCGAGUGGCCAAGAAACAGUUCAAGGAUAAACCUGCAGAAGCAGAGAAGUUUGUGAAUGAUUCGCUUGCAAGACUGAACACCUCUCUCAACGUCGAGGAGUCUGUGAAGUCCGCAGACUUGAUCAUCGAGGCGAUAGUCGAGAACUUGGAGGCCAAGCACAAGUUGUUCUCCAACCUGGACGCUGUAGCACCCAGCCACACCAUAUUUGCGUCCAAUACAUCAUCACUGUCCAUCGAGGAGAUUGCAUCUGUCACCAAGAGGCAAGACAGGUUUGGAGGCCUACACUUCUUCAACCCUGUUCCUGUGAUGAAGCUGCUGGAGGUGGUGCGCAUACCGCAGACGUCGGACGACACGUACCACCGCAUGAUGGCGUGGGGCGCGGCCAUGGGCAAGACCACCAUCACGUGCAAGGACACGCCGGGCUUCGUGGUGAACCGCCUGCUGGUCCCCAACCUGGCCGAGGCAGUGCGCAUGCUGGAGAGAGGAGAUGCCACGGCCAGAGACAUAGACACUGCCAUGAAGCUAGGUGCUAGCCAUCCCAUGGGGCCCUUCGAGUUGGCAGACUACGUGGGCAACGACACCACCAAGUUCAUCCUUGACGGUGAGGCCACCUCUUAUUGCUCGGCUGAAGCCAUGUGCGCCUGUACUUGGAAACAUACAGUUAACUACCGUGCUCCCAAGCUUAAUCAAACAACCACUUCACUUCUGUGAACCAUUCAUUUGAUCAUGGCAAACAUAAUACACUUCUACCUCAUUUAUUGGCUCUUUGAACUUCUGAAGUUUGAGGAUUCUGAAUUCGACUUUGUCCCUUAAAAAGUGAACUUCGAACACCCUUGUUGAAACGAGGAGGGGAAUGCAGAAGAGGCCGGACAACAGCCAGCGGUACAGUGUGUCCCGUGCCUGGGCAAACAAUUCUUAUGCUAUGAAGCAGUACCUUUUUUAUCGUCAACCCACUGGAAAAUAUCAAAUACUGUACAAUAUUUGGUAGUGUUUCAGGAUGACAUUCACGGAAUUCUACAAAGUGCUGUGUUAGUUUAACGUGCUGGAUUUACAGGCAUAUACUCCCAUGGACAGAGUCCAACACGAGCUGCCUAGAGCCAGAGGGAAAUAGAUACACCAUUUCACCGCAACUUGGAGGUGUUUGGAGAGGAUUUACAAUGAGAGGCUGAGGCAAUCCAUCCCAGCAGUAGAACCCCGAUUUUGCAAACACAGAUUUAACUAGGGCCAGGAAUUUUGCGAAAAUUCACGCAAAUUUCGCAUGAAAACGCGAAAAGUAAGUACAUUCGCGAAAAUCACAACAUUUCUAUAUUACACUGCGAAUAUAUCCCCGAAAAGUACCAUUACAGUAGAAUCCCGCCGAUGCGACCCCCCUCUGAUGCGUCCAUUCUGUUUAUACGACCGUUUUUUGAGAAACAGUGAAAAAUUUGAGCAGAGAAAGUCGAAAAUUUGAGUAAAAUCGGCUGAAAAACAAGCCUGUUUCACUUUGUUGGGCGGGAUGUGUUCACGUUUAUUUUGGCGAGAGCUGUACUGUAAGCAGGCAGGCAUACAAAAGACGGCUAAAAAUAGAUACCACCCCUCCAGACUGUCCACACCGCAGUGUCUAGCCGAGCUCGGCGCCUCCACUAUCGCACGAAAAGCCGUCUCAGCUGUCAUGUUAUAUUACCCGCCCGGCGGCUUGACGUCAUACGUGACGUGACGCGACGCUUACUUCUCCCAUCCCCUGCUAAUUCUUUAAGGCUCAUCCCUCCCAGAGCCACAAACCAUGUAAAAACAACCCCCCCCCCCACCCCUUUUUAACAGCUAACAUUUCAACACAUUCCCUCCCUUGUUUCAACCUUCUGCGUAAGAAACUGUCAGCAUUCUCCUCCCCUCCCACCCCGCGUGCGACAAAAGCCAGGUUGUAUAGUCUAUUCUCGGUAAAAUAAAUAUUUUUAUGGGCUUAUACGACUGUCCUUCGCCGUUGAUAAAUACUUUAUAAGUUUAAGUUAUUAUGAUACAAGUUGUUUAUUAGUCACAGCAGUUUCUGCUGAAAAAUCACUAAUACCUCGAAUUUUAUUGAAUAGAAAAAAUUAGCAGGGCCGUAAAUAUAUUUAUUUUACUGCAUAGUUACUUUUCCAUCUGCAUUCCGUGUUUUUUUCUUUUCUUUUUUUUUACGUUGUGAAGGGACGUGGAAAAGAUAAUUGCUUGAGCUGUCAAAAUAAACAUCGGGCAAGGGCGGGAGCGUAUCCUGUUAGUCUGUCGCUGUGAUUAUCUACUCCAAAAACAUGUCACAGCAUUUCAGGAUAGAAUUGUUCACACUAAGUUUCUUCUCAUUUGUGCGCCGGGGUUUGUUCAAGUGGCAACCCCGUGUUCCUCCACUCCAUUAUGCCAAUACCGUAUUAUUUUAUUGAAUGCAAGCAAACUCAAACUUUUGCACUCAACGAAAAAUAAAAAUAAUAUGAUGCCGAAUUCUAAACUACCGUGCACACUUGGCCGGAUAUGAGAACGUGUUAAUUGUAUUUUGCGAAAAGUGUAUAAAAUAUAUCAAAGCAAAAGAAUAACCUAAUAUCUUGUAUUUAUCCAAGUUGCGUUGUAUAUGGUAAAAUGUAAAGGUCCAGGUUAGCCAACAUAGCUUCUACUAACUUCUCAUGUAAGUGAAUGCUUCCUUACCGAAGAUCAUACAUUUCCCAGACUGUGAGAAGUUUUGUUUUGUGUAAAGCUAAACACAUAUGUUAGUGGCUAACGAAUUUAUAUUACCUUAGUUGUUUAUUUUGUGUAACUUCGUAAAUAGCAAGAGAAUAAGCAAAUAAUGAUUUUGCAGGUAGAAAAUUAGUCUGCGCAGCAAGACUGGGAGUGUGCGGGCAUGCGUGACUAUCAUCUUUGAAUAUGUAUACUGUAUAGAAGUCGCCAGCCCAGGUUACAAUUUCUAAUACGGUUUUGAGGUAGUUGGUUAAUUCACCGCCGCAAUCGCCACCAUCUCUAGGGCAUCGACUUGUGGUGGUCCCUAGCGGACAAGUGUCGAACUCUUCAAACACACCUUCCCCCUCCCGCUGAACGACCUUGAGCUGCAGUGAAUGAUUGGUGGGGGGUGCGGGGAAUGACAGCGGGCGACAGUGCUGCGCUCUAACGUGUAAAUAACAACUAAGACGAUACAGGGCGUUACGGCAGCGCACUGCAGCGGUGAAGUUCCCAAGCUGCUCAUCAUACGCUUCUGAAAAACGUAGAGUAAAUCCUAUCCACUCGCGACUUCUAUACAGUAUAUAUAUUCAAAGCUAUCAUACAGCCAGCAUCUGUUGUUGACGUCACGAGCCGCGACAGCAUUCCCAACGUAGUGACAUUCCACUGCUGAUAUUUAUUCGCGCGCCAAGUUUAGUUGAUUGUUUUCGUAACAGCCUGUAUGUAGUAUGUUGCAACAUACAUAUUUCUGUCUAGAGUUUGAAAAUGCCGAAUAAUACUUUGAGUGCUCGAGACCGAGCAUAUCAGUAUCAGAAACAUGGGUUUUAUUGUACUGACAAUAGCACAGUGAUGUGCAAAUUUUGCAACUGUAAAGUUUCAUGGGAAAGAAAAGAUUCCAUUGACAAACACCUAAAGUCGGCUAAGCAUGUGGCAUCGGCAGCCGAAAAAAAGAAAAUUUGUAGUUGCAAACAUCUAUAGCAAUGUGUCUGUUUUGUGUAACUGUUUUGGAUUUAAUUGGCUGUUAUUAUGCAUAUUAGUCUAUUCCUAGUAUACAUGGAUUGUUUAUUAAAUAUGUAAACUAUUAUAUUCAAUAACUGCAUUAUUUAGUCAACAUUUAAAAUACCGGUAAAAUUUCCAUUGCAUAACGAAAAUACCGACUUUAAACCACCGCUUUCCUAAUUUGAAAGUACCCGCUUUUUGCAUACUGAAAACACCGAAUUUUUCCAGGCCCUAGAUUUAACAAAAACAGCGAUUUAACGUAAAGGUUUUCAGGAACUAUCAAAAAACACCAAUUUAUUAAAUCAAUAACAUAGAUUUCCAAAAAAUGAAAGUAAAUUGUAAUGGAAACUUAUCAAAAAAUACACUCUGUGGUGUAAGUAAUAGAAUGGAGGUACUAUAUAUUAAUAUGUGCCUUGCAUCAUCUGUCCAAACACGAAAUAAUAAAAAAAAAAUUGUUCAAAUUGCUUAAAAACUUUGGGCGCUGUAACUGAAUUGCGUACGUAAUUGCGCGCACCUGGAUAGAUAAACUGUCCGCGACACAUGACGUCAUGAAGGGUUUCUUUGUCUGCAUCCCCCUCCCCCUCAUCUAACCCUGGCUUGACUCACCACGUUAUCUUUCAAUCACGCCCGCAUAGUAACAGUGCUAGCCAAUAAUCACACGUUUCAAAAUAUUCCCUUUCCCAUCCUCCAGGUUUUUUCAACUUGUGACCACGUCACACCAAUACGCCCUUGGCCCUUCCCUGUUAUGUGAAAUGUGAUCAUUAUUCUCAGUAAGAGCUUUGUGCGCAGUGUUUAGUUUUUGGAAUACGUUUUUUAUAAGUGCUGUUCGGACUUCGAUUUUUUGUGUUUCUUCUUGAAUUUUGAUUACAGAUUGCGAUUGGAAUUGACGACACUGCCUGUCGACGACCUGCUUAGCUUUUUUAUUGGUACAUGACUUUAUUUACUGUUUUUGGAUAUCGGCUUUGUUACGUUUUUUUAUGACGACUUGUUUAUGUUUUUUCAGCUUUGAUUGUGAAAUUAUAACAGUAUGAGUGGGAAAAAGCGUACUUCAUACACACUUCAGCAGAAGUUUGAAAUAAGGUAAACCUUGUUUCUACGUACACACACGGUUCUCCAAAAUUUGUCCGUACGACCGAGUUGUACAUACGAACAAGUGAGGCCAUAUUAUCGUAUUUACUCGCAUAAUGUCCGCAGCAAUUUGGCUACAUUUUUGACCAAAAAAAUGGGGUGCGGACAUUAUGAGUUGAAGUCUGUCGUUAUGUGCUGUUUUACUGAUAGCCUUAUUAGUUUGCUAACAGUUCUAAUACAUGUUUAACUCUCUGCCCAGUAAAAUUGACAGCCAAUAAUGUGAUUGCUAUGUCUUUUUCUGUAUUAGUUUUCUCUCAGUUUAUGUUGAAUGAAGUGUACAAUGAAAACCCUCGACUUGAAUAAUCUUAUAAUAUCCUGAAACUUUUCUUAUUUCAGAGUCUCGUAGAGCUAUUUUCUACCCAUUUUACACAAAUAAGAAGUCCGUUGAUUAUUUAUAUUCAAUAAAGUGCGGGUUGUAAACAACUAUUAACAAAAUUUAGCUUAGAGCACUUCUGAAUCUGAGUCCAAAAAAAAAGUGUGGGUUAUUCACAGUCGUGUAAUAAGUAGUCUACAAACAGUAAUGAAAACCAAGAGAGAUGGAAAAUAGUGCAAAUAAAGGUUGUUAUAAAUAUCAGAAGCAGAGAGGGCAGUGUUCAAGAGCAAGUUAUAUCACAAUAGUUGGCUGCGGGCUAGCGGCCGGCUGGCAGGCUAGAAUCCUGGAUCCGUUAUCUUUGGCAGGAGGUGGAAGAGGGUCAGGCAGGCGAGGUGUCACAUGCAGUACAGCGGUCGGAGUGCAACAACCUUCAAACAUGUUUUCUGCACAUUUCUUUAAAAAUUUUUUAAUUAUUUUUUUUUAACACAAAUAUUUUACUGUUCCUCAAAAAGAGUUUGUAAUACAGAAAUAGUUGUAAUAGAUAGGGUCGUAACAAUGGGCUUUUAAUAUAUUCAGAAUUCCAAUUUUACUCUGUCCAGCAAGCAAUUCUUCAUGUUCAAAAAAAAUUGUAAUUGAACCAUUUCAGUUGGUCAUAAACUAGAAAAUAGUGCCAUAAAUUGAUUGCAACAAGUGCAUUUUCAGUGCUGUUAGAGUCUGAGAAAGUUUAAAGACUGUAACACCCCUCGUGCCCUUGAUUUUUUAGUGUUAUAACACCUCUUAAAAGUCCUAGAAAACAGCUGAGCAACAAGCUACAAAAUUGACAUAAAAUUCGAACAUCAUCAGAGGUGGCACGAGGCGGGGAACAAAACAAUUUAGAAACUCCCUGCACACAACCCAUUUGGGAGUUAGUGGAUCAGUAGAUAUAUAUACCUAGGUACAGUCAAACCUCUCUGAAACGACCCCUCACGGUUCCCAGGAAUUGGGUCGUAAUAGAGGGGGGGUCGUAAUAGAUGUUUUCAGAAAUUUCCAGUUGAUUUAAACCCCCCCCCCCCCCCCCCCCC
Bacillus rossius redtenbacheri is the source of this 6575-nucleotide RNA transcript. It is a transcript of the gene named hydroxyacyl-coenzyme A dehydrogenase, mitochondrial-like, with no coding region annotated. NCBI's taxonomy places the organism in Eukaryota, Metazoa, Arthropoda, Insecta, Phasmatodea, Bacillidae. The transcript is spliced from 7 exons. The record is from RefSeq and is a predicted model, not a curated record.